Artibeus jamaicensis (Jamaican fruit-eating bat) is the source of this 1919-nucleotide long non-coding RNA. RefSeq lists it as uncharacterized. The record is from RefSeq and is a predicted model, not a curated record. NCBI's taxonomy places the organism in Eukaryota, Metazoa, Chordata, Mammalia, Chiroptera, Phyllostomidae. The transcript has 3 exons.
GGAGACAGCUGAGGUGGGGCAGGGCCCUGGGCUCAGGCCACAGAGAAGCCGGCACCCCACCCCACAUUCUGUCCUUCCCGGAAUGGAGGGCCCCCUGGGGUCUCAGCAGAGCUGCCUGCUGGUCUGGAGGCCAGCAGUCCAAACUCCAGGGCUCUGGGGGAGUCUUUCCUCAGCUCUUCACCUCUGGGUCCCAAGCACCCCUUGGCUUGUGGCAGCCCCCCUCCAGUUUCCGCCUCCAUUCCCCCACUGCCUCCUCCCCUCUGGGCCUGGUCUCCAGUCUCCUUCUGCCUGCACCUCCCGAGGACACCAGUCCUUGGACGCGGGGCCCGCCCAGAUAAGCCAGGAUCUCAUCGAGAGACCGUUAACCAACUACAUCUGCAAAGACCCUCUUUCCCAAUCAGGCCGCCUGCACAGGUCUGGUUUAGGACACGGACGUAUCCUUUGGGGGGACUGCCAUUUACUGGGGUCUCAUGGCAGCUUCUUUGGGGUUCCCCCACGGCCUGUGACUGCAGACUCUUUCUGCCUAGUGUCCACUUGUCACAGCCACAGCCUUGGGCAUCGGUACCCUGGCGGGUGCCCCUGGCGGCCUUGACCUUGCCACAGGGUCCUCGCUUCUCCCACAGGGUCCCCCAAGCCUGCACAGCGAGGUCAGCCGUUGGGACCGUUCCAGAGCCCAUUCUCUCCUCCUGGGGGUGGGCAGGGUUCAGGGACUGCCGUCCCCUCCCCCGCUGCAGUCGGUUGGGCGCUGGGAUGACAGUCCGCCAGCGCUGAGCCCCGGCCUCCUCUCGGAGGGUCAGGGGACCACAGAGCAGCCUUCACGUGACCCUGAAGCCACCGCUGUGCCCAGUGCUUGCGCACACUCCCUCUCUCUCUCUCUCUCUCUCUCUCUCUCUCUCAACAGCUGCUAACUAGUGCCAGUUACAAGAAACAGAAACCCAGCUCCCUCGGCUGAGAGACGCAAGGAGAGUGACAUGCAAAUCAAGCCCAGAGUGAGAUGCCCCUGGGAAGGUGCCGGCUCUACCAUCAACAACGAAGCAGAAAAGAACUAGGGUUGGGGAGGAUGUGGCGAGACGGGAGCCCGGGGGCCUCGCCAUUGGGAAUGAACACGGGUGGGAGGCGGGAGGUGGUGUGGAACUGGAACCAGAGAAUGGCUCUGUGACCAAGUGAUUGCCCUUGAGACCCACAAGAAGAACCCAGAGCAGGGUGGCCACAGGUACGCGCACACCCGAGUUCACAGCAACGUGGCUCACGAUCGUCAGCAGGUGGGAGCCACCCCGGUGUCCGUCAUCCGAGGACGGACAAGCUGAUGGGUGUCUCUCAGCCUCACACAGGCAGGAAGCCCUGCCACCUGCUGCGGCAGGCAAGGAAGGGCCUGGAAGGCGUGGUUUAGGGGAAAUGAGCCGGCACAACGGAAAGUGGAAGGGCGGUGCCGGGGGCGCGAGGGGAGGGGGCGCUUCUGGUUCCCGGCCCGAGGGUCAGGUUGGGACGACGAAGCCGUUCUUGACGUUGACGGCUGGCCACAUGGCAGCGCACAAGUGCCCAGUGCCGGAGCCGAGCCCUUACGGUAACUGUGUCAGGUGUAUUUUGCCUCAAACUUCGAAAGGUUGAAAAUACCUGCACGAGAAAAAAACGACAGAUUAGACAACUAUGGGGACAUUGAUGUCCCGUGAGGACGCACUCAUUCAGCCUGUCUGCCUGCUUUUGUUUUUUGGUUUUUAAAUACUAUUUUCACAGUGAAACUUAAAAAUGAAAAAGGGGAGCCCUGGCCGGUGUGGCUCAGUGGAUCGAGUGCCGGCCUGUGAACUCAAAGGUCACCGCUUCGAUCCCCGAAAGUGGAACCCGAGGGACCCACCUGCUUCUUCAUGUGUCUGUGACAAUGACGCCCCCACGCCCUGGGCCGCACCAGCCGUCUUCGCUCG